RNAcentral lists this ribosomal RNA (434 nucleotides) under uncultured Lachnospiraceae bacterium. RNAcentral describes it as "bacterial SSU rRNA". It matches the Rfam family "Bacterial small subunit ribosomal RNA", at positions 341 to 792 of the family's 1533-position model. Lineage: Bacteria; Bacillati; Bacillota; Clostridia; Lachnospirales; Lachnospiraceae. The record is from RNAcentral.
ACGGGAGGCAGCAGUGGGGAAUAUUGCACAAUGGGCGCAAGCCUGAUGCAGCGACGCCGCGUGAGUGAAGAAGUAUUUCGGUAUGUAAAGCUCUAUCAGCAGGAAAGAAAAUGACGGUACCUGACUAAGAAGCCCCGGCUAACUACGUGCCAGCAGCCGCGGUAAUACGUAGGGGGCAAGCGUUAUCCGGAAUUACUGGGUGUAAAGGGUGCGUAGGCGGUAAAGCAAGUUAGAUGUGAAACCUCAGGGCUUAACCCUGAGCAUGCAUCUAAAACUACUGGACUAGAGUAUAGGAGAGGAAAGCGGAAUUCCUGGUGUAGCGGUGAAAUGCGUAGAUAUCAGGAAGAACACCGGCGGCGAAGGCGGCUUUCUGGACUAAAACUGACGCUGAGGCACGAAAGCGUGGGGAGCAAACAGGAUUAGAUACCCUGGUA